Trichonephila clavipes is the source of this 73-nucleotide non-coding RNA. NCBI's taxonomy places the organism in Eukaryota, Metazoa, Arthropoda, Arachnida, Araneae, Nephilidae. The record is from the annotation of a GenBank genome assembly.
GUCCCUGUAGCGCAAUAGAUAGCGCGUUGGACUUCUAAUCCAAAGGUCGUAGGCUCGAAUUCCACCUGGGAUG